Non-coding RNA from Podarcis muralis (Common wall lizard), 1780 nucleotides. Lineage: Eukaryota; Metazoa; Chordata; Lepidosauria; Squamata; Lacertidae. The record is from RefSeq and is a predicted model, not a curated record.
GGCUGGGCUGCCCUAAAUCCGCCUCUGCUUGGGAGCUGGAUCUUCCUCACUUCCACUUCUACCCCACUCCAAAUCUGCCUCGGGGCAAAGAGGAGGCGCCACUGGUCUCUUCCCGCUUUCUUCGCCAUUUCAUCUUGAUCCCCCAACAAUCUCCAUUCUUCCCUGGGGGGGGGGACAGUUUUGGGACUCGGCUCAGGGGACCAAAUGUCUUGGGCCGGCCCUGCUGACCCCCCUCCAGGAGUAAGUCUGGCCAAGGUGGCUGCUCAGGCAAAUGCAACCCAGGGAGGAUUCCCCCCUGAAGCCUGUGCCCCCUUUUCAUCUUUGCCUCCUUUUCUGAACCUGGACCUGGGAAUUCGGCUGGUGUUUCUCUCCCUCCUCCAUAAGGAAAGCCCUGAGCACUAGCAUUCCCUGGGCGGUUGCCAAAUGAUGAGGGGUGAGCACUCUGCACAUGCCUAGGAGUAAACCAUCUACCAGCUCCUGUUAGAUUCCCUUAGGUGAAACAAAGGGUUUCUAGAGUGAUAGCCCAGUAGGUGCCUCCAGAACUCAUUGGAGGAAGAGCAAAUGGUGACCACCACAGCACUGUCGAAAACAAGGACACAGAUAUCAUUCAAUGGGUCUGUGCUAAUUUAAGGUACCAGCUUGGAAAAGGCAUUCUUGGUGCAAGGAUCUCCUCUUCUAAGAUGGCGGGUGACCUUGAAUAUCCAAUGCACCGUUUUUAAAAGAACGAGGAAGGUACCCCAAAGUCGGAGGAGAUAGGAGAAAAAGGACCGUUUUCACCCCUGCCCAAAUCGAGCUUUUAAAGAAGGAGUUUGAAGAGAACCAGUACCCCGGAUACCAGACUAGGGAGGCGCUGGCGAGGUGCAUCGGAGUCGAAGAAGAUCGUGUGCACAUCUGGUUUCAAAACAGAAGGGCCAGAACACCAAAGAGCAUUGGUUCCAGGAUAAGGAUCGGGAACCAUGCUGCAGCUCCUUAUAGCCGGAGUGAAAGAACCCGUCCAAGAAGCACCCUGGACAGCAGCCCAGGAAGCAGUCCAGGAAACAGCCAAAAUAUUCAUAUGGAACAAUUUUAUCAGCCACACAACUUGCAUUAAGCUGAAAGCAAUAGAGGAGCAGGGUUGUGGCAGCCACCUCUCAACAACACGCAACCAGGAGGGUAUGCCGCGCAACAGCAGAGCUCCCUGGAAUUGAACCCUGCUUAUUACCAGCAAGCUGCUUUUUGUGGAACUGGGCUUUAUGAGACUUCCCAGGCGAGCAACUGCCCAGUUCCAUAUUACGGUGCGGAGAUUGUGAGGCAGCCUCCACCAUCAUCUAGUAACUUCUUCAUGGCAUCAAGCACUUAUACUCCUUGGUCUGCAACGGGGAAUAAUUCAGCUACAAAUCCUGUACAAAUGCAGAAUGUUGAUGGAAGUGCUUCGGACUCUCAGUUUUUCGCUUUAAGUCAGGUUCCAGAUUAGCUUCCCAACUCCUUCCUUUCUAUCCUGUACAUAUUUUCCAAGCUCCCUCUUUUAAUGCCUUUUAAUGUAUGACUUCGAUGUUUUGAAUAAAGUUUGUUCCUUUUCUAGCUUGUCUGGAGUCUUGAUUUAACUUUCCAUUUACUGAAACAUUCACUUUCCUGUGUGCAAGCAUAUAAACAUGGGCUUAAUUUUCCCAUAGAAAAAAGUCAGUUGUGCGGUACAUGUGGUUCUAGAGAUAAAAAGGUCAGGUAUUCUAACGGCUGAAUAUUCCUGGGACACAUUUUAAUGCACCAAUGCCUUUCUGCCCCUUUCCUUUUCUUUUUGAGU